GAGGCUAACAAAAAUUUGGAGAGACUGC
Molecule: small RNA, 28 nt
Filed under: Bombyx mori (domestic silkworm)
Lineage: Eukaryota; Metazoa; Arthropoda; Insecta; Lepidoptera; Bombycidae
Description: ovarian small RNA-5165
Source: RNAcentral